Small nuclear RNA from Zalophus californianus (California sea lion), 102 nucleotides. NCBI's taxonomy places the organism in Eukaryota, Metazoa, Chordata, Mammalia, Carnivora, Otariidae. The record is from Ensembl.
GUACUUCAAAAGCAGAUACACUAAAAUUGUAACAUUACAGAGAAGAUUUUCAUGGUCCUUGUGUCAGGAUUACAGGUAGAUUAUGAAACAUUCUAUAUUUCU